UGCUGCAUGGCCGUCGCCAGCUCGUGUCGUGAGAUGUUUGGUUAAGUCCAGCAACGAGCGCAACCCCUGUUGCCAGUUACCAGCACGUGAAGGUGGGGACUCUGGCGAGACUGCCCAGAUCAACUGGGAGGAAGGUGGGGACGACGUCAGGUCAGUAUGGCCCUUAUGCCCAGGGCUGCACACGUACUACAAUGCCCAGUACAGAGGGGGCCGAAGCCGCGAGGCGGAGGAAAUCCUAAAAACUGGGCCCAGUUCGGACUGUAGGCUGCAACCCGCCUACACGAAGCCGGAAUCGCUAGUAAUGGCGCAUCAGCUACGGCGCCGUGAAUACGUUCCCGGGUCUUGUACACACCGCCCGUCACAUCAUGGAAGCCGGUCGCACCCGAAGUAUCUGAAGCCAACCGCAAGGAGGCAGGGUCCUAAGGUGAGACUGGUAACUGGGAUGAAGUCGUAACAAGGUAGCCGUAGGGGAACCUGCGGCUGGAUCACCUC
RNAcentral lists this ribosomal RNA (492 nucleotides) under uncultured bacterium. RNAcentral describes it as "bacterial SSU rRNA". It matches the Rfam family "Bacterial small subunit ribosomal RNA", at positions 1039 to 1529 of the family's 1533-position model. The record is from RNAcentral.